UAUCAGUGUAACCUUAAGUUAGAGUACAUCGCCCCUCCCCUUGCAAAACCACCAGCAUCAGGCAAGCAGAGCAAAUGGCGUCGACCUCUCGGCGUAUGGUUGCGUCCGUUCUCUUCGUCGUUCUCCUCCUCGUCGCGACAGAGAUGGGGGCGACGAGGGUGGCGGAGGCGAGGCACGGGCACAGGCUCUGCGAGUCACAGAGCCACAGGUACCGCGGAGCGUGCUGGAGGGUUUGAUGCUAAAAGUUGGCAUGUCAAAUUUUGGCAAGUACCAAAUGUUGGCUAGAGAUUGGUUGCUUGCCAAUUUUCGCUGCCAAUCUCACAAAAAAUUGUCAAUUGUUGGCAACUUUUGAUUUUGCUAAAUGUUGGCUUGCCAAAUAUUGGCAAUGCUAAAUGUUGGUAGCAAACCAAUUAUACUCGAGAACUGCGCGCACGUCUGCAACACUGAGGGCUUUCCCUCGGGCAAGUGCAAGUUCCACGGCUUCGAAAGCAAGUGCUUCUGCAAGAAACCCUGCUAGCCACUUCAUCGGCCGAUGGAUCGGCUGGCUAGUUAGCCGCGCACCACGACCGCCCUCCUGUCUUCAGAGUGUUCCUCCCCUGUUCGUGUACCGCUUUCCUUAUUCCGAAUAAGCACUGCUAUACACACGAUAAAUCCAUGCACGAUCUGCGCACGACAACACAUCUACACCCUUGGGUUGCCUCGCUUUGUAAAUCUUUGUGGCCCAAAUCAUUUCGUGUGUGGAUCGUGCAUGCACAGUUCGUGUGCACAGCACUUCCGAUUCCGAAUCUAGUAAGGUCUACAUGCGUUGUGCAUGCCAUUUCCUUAUUAUACAAGUGUUUUGCUUCAUACGGUGUAAUCUAGCUAGGGUGCUAAUAAAAGUUGGCCGUCGGUGUGCUUGGACGUCUUUUAUCA
This is a long non-coding RNA of Triticum aestivum (bread wheat), 912 nucleotides long. RefSeq lists it as uncharacterized. Lineage: Eukaryota; Viridiplantae; Streptophyta; Magnoliopsida; Poales; Poaceae. The record is from RefSeq and is a predicted model, not a curated record. The transcript has 2 exons.